RNAcentral lists this ribosomal RNA (118 nucleotides) under Scophthalmus maximus (turbot). The record is from RNAcentral. Lineage: Eukaryota; Metazoa; Chordata; Actinopteri; Pleuronectiformes; Scophthalmidae.
GCUUAUGGCCACACCGCCUGGUUCACGCCUGAUCUCGUUUGAUCUCGGAAGCUAAGAUAGUUUAAACCUGGUUAGUACUUGAUGGGAGACCGCCUGGGAAUACCAGGUGCUGUAAGCU